UUUUUUUUUUUUUUUUUUUUUUUUUUUUUUUUUUUUUUUUUCAUUC
This 46-nucleotide non-coding RNA is filed under the name Alexandrium minutum. Lineage: Eukaryota; Dinophyceae; Gonyaulacales; Pyrocystaceae. The record is from RNAcentral.